CUGAACUCAUCAAAAAUAGUGGAUCUACUGUUAUUGAAGGUGGUAAGCUUUUUACUUUUAACUUUUAAAAUGUAGCUGUUCAGUGUUGAUCUUUGCUUCCAAACAUAAUCUCAAACCUUAACCCGAUUGUUUUUGUUGCACUGGAUGUGUUUCACAGAGCCUCAUCUUCUGUUGAAUUUUUUAAUACGCCUUCAGUCAUUGUCGUUUUCAAGAUUAACGAGUGGGGGAUUGUUGCCCAACUAUCUUUUUGGAAAGAUACAUCGGCAUACCGUUUUCUUUCUUUUCGGCUUUUCUCUAUCGCUUCUUCUUCUUCUUCCUCUUUAUAAUAUGAAACCUUAAUUUGGUAUAUUACUUGGGCUUAAGCUUUUGGGCCAUGUUGGUAACUUGGUAUACCCACUCUGUCCAAUUUGUUUGGCCAGUAGGUUGCUUGGGGUGUGACAUGAAAAUUCUUCAAACUGGACUUGACAUGUACAGUGGCAAAAGAUGCUAUUUCAAGGUAUGUUAGACGAAUUGUUUUUGAAGGAGGACUCAUUGUAGAUCCAGAUCAGGGGGAGUUUCUCUACCCUGUGGGAACCAUGGACUUGCAAAUUUAGCAUUGCCUGCAUUACCUGGAGAUUCUCAAAAGGUUUCUAGACCAGCAAUGGUUUCAACUGUCAGUUGGCCAUAUGCUACAGGCCAAUUAUCCUCAGCAAACAGGGAAACUGAUUUCCUUCGCUUUCGGGAAGCCUGGUCUCUUUUACAUAGUGCUGCUGAUGUUGCUGGGAGGAGUGAAAUCCUAAAAGCUUUUCCAAUGCAUCGAACUGGAAGGAUAAGACCAAAUCCUGAAUCCAUGUUUCGUGUACUAUCUGGAAUGUAUUUUCCAGGCAAACAGGAUAGGAUUUCAGGAUCUGCAAGGGAUCUACUGCUGGUCUGCUGCUGCUGCUGCCGGUGUGCUGCUGCAGAAUUUUGCUGGGCUGUUGCUGCUGCUGCAAUGUUGCUGUGAAGCGGGCUGCUGCUAGAUGCUGGUCUGCUGCAAAUUUGGGUUGUUGUUAGCCCUAUGAAUUCAAUACAUAAUCGGAUGUUUGUGAAAAUCUGAAUCAGACAUGUCAGCAUUCAAAGCAGCAAAUCUAGCUGCUGUAUUUGAAGAUUUUAUCCACUGGCAUUCACCUAGAGAUUGGGAGAACGAUGACUUCGAAGAGAGUGGAGAAGUGUCUACAAAUGAUGCAAUGGAAUCGUUAAAAAACAAUUGGCCUCCUCGAGGAUGACUUUCAAAGAGAAUGUCUGAGCAUGGGAAUUUGUGGCAAAAAAUUUGGAAUGGUGCACCUGCUUUGCCAGCAUCUGAGCAGAAGCCACUUUUGGACCCUAAUCGAGAAGGAGAAAAGGUAAAAUUCUUUGUAAAUGUGCACAUCAUGCGAUUUUUUUUAAAAAAAUAUUUGGACUACUCUAACUUUUAUGUUUCCCAACAAAAUAUUAGCAAAUGUAGGAUGUUACAACGAAGGUCUCAAGUUCAUAAAACUGGUCUGCUGCUGCGGCUGCUGUCGGUGUGCUGCUGCAGAAUUUUGCUAGGCGGCUGCUGCUGCUGCUGCAAUGUUGUUGUGAAGCGGGCUGCUACUAGAUGCUGGUCUGCUGCAAAUUUGGGUUGUUGUUAGUUUUAUGUUUUCAUUUUGUUAUCUGCUGUUUUUACUAUGGGUUCACAAUUUGGAUGGAUUUGAGUAUUUUAGUGAGUUUACCCUUUUAGGUUUUAUACAACGCUUCCAAAAGCAUAUUUUUCAGCAGUGUUUUUUUUGCAUACACAUCAACUUUAGGUGAUUUAAUAUCAAUGCUAUUAGUUUGUAAUAGCAGUGCCUGAGGGAUGCCUCUUGUAAAUAUGUAAAUCUUAUAAAAAAAUAUAUAUGAUUUUCAAUUUUUUUUGCC
Non-coding RNA from Camellia sinensis, 1893 nucleotides. The record is from RefSeq and is a predicted model, not a curated record. NCBI's taxonomy places the organism in Eukaryota, Viridiplantae, Streptophyta, Magnoliopsida, Ericales, Theaceae.